Molecule: non-coding RNA, 470 nt
Organism: Pelobates cultripes (western spadefoot toad)
Lineage: Eukaryota; Metazoa; Chordata; Amphibia; Anura; Pelobatidae
Source: the annotation of a GenBank genome assembly
GUCAGCAUCCAUAGUGUACCGAGAUGAGCCAUGCCAGGGGUAGGGGGAGAGGACGAUUUGUGGUACAUCAUGAGGAGAUUUUCAUUAGAGAUUACCUACUCAAAUGUAACUUGCUAAUUGUAAAGUAACCAACCUCGUGAAUGUAAUUGAACUAAUAUGUACUUUUCUUUCUACUUAGCUCCAACAUAUCCCUCAACACAGUGGAAAGGUCACAGUUAUAUAGAGAAUUGGUUAAGGUGAUCAGACACCCAAGGUGAGGAGUAUGCAGUACAAAGCAGUAACAAUAAAAGUGUGCACAUUGGUAUUAUCUAACACCUUAGAUAAAAAUUAUAUUAAAAUGUGUAAAUCCACACAAUAUUACUUCUAGAACAGGAACUCCGUAGUCUCCACUCACCAAUAACCUAAUCAUAGCAGCAAGCGACAUGUAAAAAAAAUCAAGCAUGCUCAGAUUACACAAUGUGUAUUAUGUC